AUGGUAGGAUAGAGGCCUACCAUGGUGGUAACGGGUAACGGGGUGUUAGGGCACGACACCGGAGAGGGAGCCUGAGAAACGGCUACCACAUCCAAGGAUGGCAGCAGGCGCGCAAAUUACCCAAUCCCGACACGGGGAGGUAGUGACAAUAAAUAACAAUACGGGGUUCUUUAGGAUCUCGUAAUUGGAAUGAGUACAAUUUAAAUCUCUUAACGAGGAACAAUUGGAGGGCAAGUCUGGUGCCAGCAGCCGCGGUAAUUCCAGCUCCAAUAGCGUAUAUUAAAGUUGUUGCAGUUAAAAAGCUCGUAGUUGAAUUUCGGGGUCAGUAGGUCGGUCGUGCCACUGGUAUGAACUGGUUUUACUGAUUCCUCCCUCUUGAAGAACUGUAAUGCCAUUAAUUUGGUGUUGCAGGGAAUCAGGACUGUUACUUUGAAAAAAUUAGAGUGUUUAAAGCAGGCUUUAGCUUGAAUACAUUAGCAUGGAAUAAUGAAAUAGGACGUUUGAUCCUAUUUUGUUGGUUUCUAGGAUUGACGUAAUGAUUAAUAGGGAUAGUUGGGGGCACUAGUAUUCAAUUGUCAGAGGUGAAAUUCUUGGAUUUAUUGAAGACUAACUACUGCGAAAGCAUUUGCCAAGGAUGUUUUCAUUAAUCAAGAACGAAAGUUAGGGGAUCGAAGACGAUCAGAUACCGUCGUAGUCUUAACCAUAAACUAUGCCGACUAGGGAUCGGAUGAUGUUAAUUUUUUAAUGACUCAUUCGGCGCCUUACGGGAAACCAAAGUGUUUGGG
Molecule: ribosomal RNA, 785 nt
Filed under: uncultured Glomus
Lineage: Eukaryota; Fungi; Glomeromycota; Glomeromycetes; Glomerales; Glomeraceae
Description: SSU rRNA
Rfam family: Eukaryotic small subunit ribosomal RNA
Source: RNAcentral